CUACGUAUGGGGCGAGCGUUGUCCGGAAUGAUUGGGCGUAAAGGGUACGUAGGCGGUUAAUUAAGUCGAGUGUGAAAGGUUGGGGCUCAACCCCAUAAAGCAUUCGAAACUGGUUAACUUGAGAUGUGGAGAGGAAAGUGGAAUUCCUAGUGUAGCGGUGACAUGCGUAGAUAUUAGGAGGAAUACCAGUAGCGAAGGCGACUUUCUGGACACAGACUGACGCUGAGGUACGAAAGCGUGGGGAGCAAACAGGAUGAGAUCCCCGGGUAGCCCACGCCGUAAACGAUGAAUGCUAGGUGUCGGGGGUCAAACCUCGGUGCCGCCGCUAACGCAUUAAGCAUUCCGCCUGGGGAGUACGCACGCAAGUGUGAAACUCAAAGGAAUUGACGGGG
This 392-nucleotide ribosomal RNA is filed under the name uncultured bacterium. RNAcentral describes it as "partial 16S ribosomal RNA". It matches the Rfam family "Bacterial small subunit ribosomal RNA", at positions 523 to 918 of the family's 1533-position model. The record is from RNAcentral.